RNAcentral lists this ribosomal RNA (468 nucleotides) under uncultured bacterium. Its description in RNAcentral is "partial 16S ribosomal RNA". It matches the Rfam family "Bacterial small subunit ribosomal RNA", at positions 28 to 507 of the family's 1533-position model. The record is from RNAcentral.
GACGAACGCUGGCGGCGUGCUUAACACAUGCAAGUCGAACGGAAAGGCCCUGCUUUUGUGGGGUGCUCGAGUGGCGAACGGGUGAGUAACACGUGAGUAACCUGCCCUUGACUUUGGGAUAACUUCAGGAAACUGGGGCUAAUACCGGAUAGGAGCUCCUGCUGCAUGGUGGGGGUUGGAAAGUUUCGGCGGUUGGGGAUGGACUCGCGGCUUAUCAGCUUGUUGGUGGGGUAGUGGCUUACCAAGGCUUUGACGGGUAGCCGGCCUGAGAGGGUGACCGGCCACAUUGGGACUGAGAUACGGCCCAGACUCCUACGGGAGGCAGCAGUGGGGAGUAUUGCACAAUGGGCGGAAGCCUGAUGCAGCAACGCCGCGUGCGGGAAGACGGCCUUCGGGUUGUAAACCGCUUUCGCCUGUGACGAAGCGUGAGUGACGGUAAUGGGUAAAGAAGCACCGGCUAACUACGUG